UGUCAUCAGUAAGGUAACUUGAAAUGUAGAAGCCAUGAAUUGCUUCUGUGUUUCCAUGGCUAUACAUGCAGUCACAGUAAAUCCAUGAACCACAGUGCUGUCAGCUACAUCCCUUAGAAGACACUUUCAAGAAAGACAGAGGAAGAAGAGAAGGAACUUCAGGUUUGGCUGCAGGCUUGGCCAACCACACCACUUGCCCAUGGAAAUGCUCUGAACCUCAAGCAGCAAGCUCCUUCUGCACCAGGAGCUCCAACUGUGGGAGCCAGCAAGGUGAGGAAACCUGGGGGCAGGGAUGUGGGGUACUGCACCCACAGGGUGACUUCUCCCUUCUUUGCUUGGAGUUCAUCAUUUUUCCAGUUCUUCAAGAUGAGCUAGGAUCAGCUGAGAAGGAAAAACUGAUGUGCGUGUUUCUGUUGCUGCUCAGAAGUUACAGUAGUAAAUAAAAUAUAAGAUUCCCUGUUUUAGGCCAACUAGUUGGAAGCAUAAGAAUCUAAAUUAUAUAUUUUUUUUCAAUUUUACUGAAAAAUA
Molecule: long non-coding RNA, 528 nt
Filed under: Meleagris gallopavo (turkey)
Lineage: Eukaryota; Metazoa; Chordata; Aves; Galliformes; Phasianidae
Description: lncRNA (ENSMGAG00000018793.1)
Source: RNAcentral